UCCGCAGGGGGCCUGCCAAGUCUGUCGUGAAAUCCCGGGGCUCAACCCCGGAUCUGCGGUGGAAACAGGCGGGCUGGAGUGUGUGAGGGGUAGACGGAACACCUGGUGUAGCGGUGGAAUGCGUGGAUAUCAGGUGGAACACCGAUGGCGAAGGCGGUCUACUGGCACACAACUGACCCUCAGGGACGAAAGCGUGGGUAGCAAACA
RNAcentral lists this ribosomal RNA (207 nucleotides) under uncultured bacterium. Its description in RNAcentral is "partial 16S ribosomal RNA". It matches the Rfam family "Bacterial small subunit ribosomal RNA", at positions 568 to 774 of the family's 1533-position model. The record is from RNAcentral.